This 538-nucleotide long non-coding RNA is filed under the name Lathyrus oleraceus (garden pea). RNAcentral describes it as "Pisum sativum (pea) long non-coding RNA (PSAT_LNC008747)". Lineage: Eukaryota; Viridiplantae; Streptophyta; Magnoliopsida; Fabales; Fabaceae. The record is from RNAcentral.
UGGAAUCGUAUACUUUCUUCGCGACUACCUCUUAUCCAGUUAUUGGACCUCAUCUCUUGGGCCUUGUGGCUGGCCCAGAACAAGUACAAUAAAUGUUGCAAGAAUCUGCGGCACAAAAGAUAACAGAUUAAGGGAGCCACUUAAAAAAACAUAGAAGAAACGUUUUUAAAAAUAUAUUCCUGAAAUUUGUCAAAACUCCAAUCAUUAAACAUUCUUUUGAAUAAUCAUUCAAUCUCUAUUCAACCAACAGAGAACCAGAGACAGAGAAUAUUAUCUUUACAGUGAUGGACAAUAGAAAAAGUAAAAUGAGAAACGGCCAAGAAUAUAAAAAUAGUCAAAAUAGUAUAAGUUCAUAAUAUUACAUACCAUCCAUGCUAUGCUGUUCCAUUGUGAAGUUCUUGCAACCCAAUUAAAGAAGUAAUGCAAACAGACUAACCAAAAUGGAGGCAACUAAAACAAGGUGUCUAUUAUUCUAAUCUUUUGAUAGAAGUAGCUUGACCUUUUAUAGUUGAAUAACUAAACAUGAACUAAGUGCAAC